This is a long non-coding RNA of Achroia grisella, 354 nucleotides long. RefSeq lists it as uncharacterized. Lineage: Eukaryota; Metazoa; Arthropoda; Insecta; Lepidoptera; Pyralidae. The transcript is spliced from 3 exons. The record is from RefSeq and is a predicted model, not a curated record.
GUCGACAGUCCUUCUUCCUGUAUAGACUGAAUCGUAUGCAAAGUUGUGGCAAUAACCAACCACAGAGUAACAAUCUUUGAGAUAAGGUAUAAUAGGAUACCAGCUUACCUCCCAAAUGAAAACAUCACCGGCAAUUAAAGUCUCGUCAUGAAUCCGCGCGUCACUCACGAGAAGGAUGGCGCGCACCACAUUUGUGAUGUCCGCUGUGGAUUCUUGGUACCCUGGUCUGAUACGAAGGAUUGUCACCCGAUACCCUUCGUCGGUCACCUUUGGUAUCCCUGAGUGGUGGUUCAUUAAGGGAUCUGUAUUCAUAUAGGUCUCGAUGCCGGGAGCGCGACAGAAAAAAUGUUUCCA